Molecule: ribosomal RNA, 857 nt
Filed under: uncultured bacterium
Lineage: Bacteria
Description: bacterial SSU rRNA
Rfam family: Bacterial small subunit ribosomal RNA
Source: RNAcentral
AGAGUUUGAUCCUGGCUCAGGACGAACGCUGGCGGCGUGCUUAACACAUGCAAGUCGAACGGGGUCCAACUAGUGGCAACACUAGAGAAGACUUAGUGGCGAACGGGUGAGUAACACAUGAGAAACCUGCCCCGAACUCUGGAAUAACCCUCCGAAAGGGGAGCUAAUACCGGAUACCUUCUUAAUGUCGCAUGGCAUCGAGAAGAAAGUUUUUCGGUUCGGGAGGGUCUCGCGGCCUAUCAGCUUGUUGGUGGGGUAAAGGCCUACCAAGGCGUCGACGGGUAGCUGGUCUGAGAGGAUGAUCAGCCACACUGGGACUGAGACACGGCCCAGACUCCUACGGGAGGCAGCAGUGGGGAAUCUUGCGCAAUGGGCGAAAGCCUGACGCAGCAACGCCGCGUGCGGGAUGAAGGCCCUCGGGUUGUAAACCGCUUUCAGUAGGAACGAAUCUGACGGUACCUACAGAAGAAGGUCCGGCCAACUACGUGCCAGCAGCCGCGGUAACACGUAGGGGCCAAGCGUUGUCCGGAUUUAUUGGGCGUAAAGAGCUCGUAGGCGGUUCAGCAAGUCGGGUGUGAAAACUCUGGGCUCAACCCAGAGACGCCACCCGAUACUGCUGUGACUAGAGUCCGGUAGGGGAGUGGGGAAUUCCUGGUGUAGCGGUGAAAUGCACAGAUAUCAGGAGGAACACCGGUGGCGAAGGCGCCACUCUGGGCCGGCACGGACGCUGAGGAGCGAAAGCGUGGGUAGCAAACAGGAUUAGAUACCCUGGUAGUCCACGCCGUAAACGUUGGGUACUAGGUGUGGGCCCUUAUCAACGGGGUCCGUGCCGCAGCUAACGCAUUAAGUACCCCGCC